UACGUAGGGGGCGAGCGUUGUCCGAAGUUACUGGGCGUAAAGCGCGCGUAGGCGGUUAUUUAAGUUCGGGGUGAAAGGUUCAACGCUCAACGUGAACAGUGCCUUGAAUACUGGGUGACUUGAGUUCGGGAGAGGGCAGUGGAAUUCCUGGUGUAGCGGUGAAAUGCGUAGAUAUCAGGAGGAACACCGAUGGCGAAGGCAGCUGCCUGGCCUAGAACUGACGCUGAGGUGCGAAAGACGUGGGGAGCGAACAGG
Molecule: ribosomal RNA, 255 nt
Filed under: uncultured bacterium
Lineage: Bacteria
Description: partial 16S ribosomal RNA
Rfam family: Bacterial small subunit ribosomal RNA
Source: RNAcentral